This 497-nucleotide ribosomal RNA is filed under the name uncultured bacterium. RNAcentral describes it as "partial 16S ribosomal RNA". It matches the Rfam family "Bacterial small subunit ribosomal RNA", at positions 28 to 507 of the family's 1533-position model. The record is from RNAcentral.
GAUGAACGCUGGCGGCGUGCCUAAUACAUGCCAGUCGAGCGAACAGACGAGGAGCUUGCUCCUUCGACGUUAGCGGCGGACGGGUGAGUAACACGUAGGUAACCUACCUAUAAGACUGGGAUAACUUCGGGAAACCGGAGCUAAUACCGGAUAAUAUUUCGAACCGCAUGGUUCGAUAGUGAAAGAUGGCUUUGCUAUCACUUAUAGAUGGACCUGCGCCGUAUUAGCUAGUUGGUAAGGUAACGGCUUACCAAGGCAACGAUACGUAGCCGACCUGAGAGGGUGAUCGGCCACACUGGAACUGAGACACGGUCCAGACUCCUACGGGAGGCAGCAGUAGGGAAUCUUCCGCAAUGGGCGAAAGCCUGACGGAGCAACGCCGCGUGAGUGAUGAAGGUCUUCGGAUCGUAAAACUCUGUUAUUAGGGAAGAACAAACGUGUAAGUAACUGUGCACGUCUUGACGGUGCCUAAUCAGAAAGCCACGGCUAACUACGUG